GAUGAACGCUGGCGGCGUGCCUAACACAUGCAAGUCGAACGGUCCUGGAAGCUGGAAGCUGGCGACUGGAAACUGGCUUGCCAGCGACCAGUAACUAGCAACUGGCAACCAGGAUAGUGGCGAACGGGUGAGUAACACGUAGGUGACCUGCCCCGAAGAGGGGGAUAACCGCUGGAAACGGCGGCUAAUACCCCAUGUAGUCGUGAGGGUUAGAGGCCUCAUGAUUAAAGCUCCGGCGCUUUGGGAGGGGCCUGCGGCUUAUCAGCUAGUUGGUGGGGUAAUGGCUCACCAAGGCAAUAACGGGUAGCUGGUCUGAGAGGACGAUCAGCCACAUGGGCACUGAGACACGGGCCCGACUCCUACGGGAGGCAGCAGUGGGGGAUAUUGCGCAAUGGGCGAAAGCCUGACGCAGCAACGCCGCGUGGGCGAUGAAGGCCUUCGGGUUGUAAAGCCCUUUUCUGGGGGAAGAGGAAGGACGGUACCCCAGGAAUAAGUCCCGGCUAACUACGUGCCAGCAGCCGCGGUAAAACGUAGGGGACAAGUGUUAUCCGGAUUCACUGGGCGUAAAGCGCGUGCAGGUGGUGCUUUAAGUUGGGCGUGAAAUCUCCCGGCUUAACUGGGAGGAGUCGUUCAAUACUGGAGCACUUGAGGGCAGGAGAGGGAGGUGGAAUUCCCGGUGUAGUGGUGAAAUGCGUAGAUAUCGGGAGGAACACCAGUGGCGAAGGCGGCCUCCUGGCCUGCUUCUGACACUAAGACGCGAAAGCUAGGGGAGCAAACGGGAUUAGAUACCCCGGUAGUCCUAGCCGUAAACGAUGGAUACUAGGUGUGGGUGGCAUUGACCCCAUCCGUGCCGAAGCUAACGCGAUAAGUAUCCCGCCUGGGGACUACGGCCGCAAGGUUAAAACUCAAAGGAAUUGACGG
RNAcentral lists this ribosomal RNA (921 nucleotides) under uncultured bacterium. RNAcentral describes it as "bacterial SSU rRNA". It matches the Rfam family "Bacterial small subunit ribosomal RNA", at positions 28 to 916 of the family's 1533-position model. The record is from RNAcentral.